GAAGAAGAAGAAGAAGCAAAUUGUUGGGUGCCACUGCUGCCCAUCUACCACCCUAGCUAGAACUGCUAUUGCUUCUCCUAUACCUGCUGCCAAAGAAACCUUAGGGCUACUACACUGUUGCCCUACCAAAAGACUGCUUACUUGUAUUGGAGGCUGGACAGAUGUAAAGGGGAGGUUGCUGCUGCCUCUGCAUCACCCGAGCCUUAGGUUAUGGAGGACUACUACACCUGGGUACGGAGUACUAUAUCCAUAGAGCGCACAAUAUGGAUCCGAUGUGGGGAGGGAGAUUCUGGUAUCGUGAUCGUCAUGUGAAUGAUUGCAUCAUGCAUUAACGUGCAUUAGAGCUACAUAUGACUAUGAAUACGUGGUGUGGCCAUAUUAAUUUCGAUACCGUGUAUCCCAUACUAAACUAUAUGGAUGCUAGAUAAGUUUGGAUAUGGAUGCGAUGUGGCUGAUAGUAAUUCUGAUAUCGUAUUCCAUACUACCUAUAUCACUACGAAAGGAAUGUAGAUUAUUGUGAUGAUGAUGCAAAUAUUGUCAUGCCAAUGGGUAGCAACGCCUCCUCCUCCAUAGUUGAGUAUCGUGGUGAAUGGUGGACACUAGAUCUUGAGGAGCAUGAUCCAGAUUGUGAUUGCAAUACUUGUGUGUAUGUUGCAUCUUGAGUUGAGGGUGAAUCUGCCAACUUCUCAGGUGUCGUAUUUUUUGAUGAUAAAUUGUAGGACAAUAUAAUAAUGUCUUGAUGAACUUUUGUGAAGGAUAAAUCACUAUUACAUAAUAUCUUAAAACUUAACUUC
Long non-coding RNA from Macadamia integrifolia, 794 nucleotides. RefSeq lists it as uncharacterized. The record is from RefSeq and is a predicted model, not a curated record. Lineage: Eukaryota; Viridiplantae; Streptophyta; Magnoliopsida; Proteales; Proteaceae. The transcript is spliced from 4 exons.